AUUGAACGCUGGCGGCAUGCCUUACACAUGCAAGUCGAACGGCAGCAUAGGAGCUUGCUCCUGAUGGCGAGUGGCGAACGGGUGAGUAAUAUAUCGGAACGUGCCCUAGAGUGGGGGAUAACUAGUCGAAAGAUUAGCUAAUACCGCAUACGAUCUACGGAUGAAAGUGGGGGAUCGCAAGACCUCAUGCUCCUGGAGCGGCCGAUAUCUGAUUAGCUAGUUGGUGAGGUAAAAGCUCACCAAGGCGACGAUCAGUAGCUGGUCUGAGAGGACGACAAGCCCGACUGGGACUGAGACACGGCCCAGACUCCUACGGGAGGCAGCAGUGGGGAAUUUUGGACAAUGGGGGCAACCCGGAUCCAGCAAUGCCGCGUGAGUGAAGAAGGCCUUCGGGUUUUAAAGCUCUUUUGUCAGGGAAGAAACGGUUGAGGCUAAUAUCCUCGGCUAAUGACGGUACCUGAAGAAUAAGCACCGGCUAACUACGUGCCAGCCGCCGCCGUAA
Molecule: ribosomal RNA, 502 nt
Filed under: uncultured bacterium
Lineage: Bacteria
Description: partial 16S ribosomal RNA
Rfam family: Bacterial small subunit ribosomal RNA
Source: RNAcentral